RNAcentral lists this ribosomal RNA (254 nucleotides) under uncultured bacterium. RNAcentral describes it as "partial 16S ribosomal RNA". It matches the Rfam family "Bacterial small subunit ribosomal RNA", at positions 524 to 776 of the family's 1533-position model. The record is from RNAcentral.
UACAGAGGGUGCGAGCGUUGUCCGGAAUCACUGGGCGUAAAGGGCGCGUAGGUGGCGACCCAAGUCUGUGGUGAAAGCUCGCCGCUUAACGGCGAGUCGGCCACGGAUACUGGGUGGCUCGAGCGACUGUAGGGGCAGAUGGAAUUCCGGGUGUAGCGGUGGAAUGCGUAGAGAUCCGGAAGAACACCGAUGGCGAAGGCAGCCCCCUGGGUCAAGAUUGACGCUCAUGCACGAAAGCGUGGGGAGCAAACAGG